Molecule: unclassified non-coding RNA, 258 nt
Filed under: Hevea brasiliensis (rubber tree)
Lineage: Eukaryota; Viridiplantae; Streptophyta; Magnoliopsida; Malpighiales; Euphorbiaceae
Source: RNAcentral
AAUGUGGGAUUGUUGUUGAGAGGUAUUCAGAAGAUUGAUAUUCAGAGAGGAAUGGUGUUGGCGAAACCGGGAACAAUCACUCCUCACACCAAGUUUGAAGCUCUUGUGUAUGUUCUGAAAAAGGAGGAGGGUGGCAGGCAUUCCCCAUUCUUUUCGGGGUAUAGGCCUCAGUUUUACAUGAGGACCACCGAUGUAACUGGGAAGGUUACUUCCAUUACCACUGACAAAGGGGAUGAAUCUAAGAUGGUCAUGCCUGGU